RNAcentral lists this ribosomal RNA (583 nucleotides) under Lodderomyces parapsilosis. Its description in RNAcentral is "eukaryotic LSU rRNA". It matches the Rfam family "Eukaryotic large subunit ribosomal RNA", at positions 53 to 652 of the family's 3401-position model. Lineage: Eukaryota; Fungi; Ascomycota; Pichiomycetes; Serinales; Debaryomycetaceae. The record is from RNAcentral.
GAGGAAAAGAAACCAACAGGGAUUGCCUUAGUAGCGGCGAGUGAAGCGGCAAAAGCUCAAAUUUGAAAUCUGGCACUUUCAGUGUCCGAGUUGUAAUUUGAAGAAGGUAUCUUUGGGUCUGGCUCUUGUCUAUGUUUCUUGGAACAGAACGUCACAGAGGGUGAGAAUCCCGUGCGAUGAGAUGUCCCAGACCUAUGUAAAGUUCCUUCGAAGAGUCGAGUUGUUUGGGAAUGCAGCUCUAAGUGGGUGGUAAAUUCCAUCUAAAGCUAAAUAUUGGCGAGAGACCGAUAGCGAACAAGUACAGUGAUGGAAAGAUGAAAAGAACUUUGAAAAGAGAGUGAAAAAGUACGUGAAAUUGUUGAAAGGGAAGGGCUUGAGAUCAGACUUGGUAUUUUGUAUGUUACUCUCUCGGGGGUGGCCUCUACAGUUUACCGGGCCAGCAUCAGUUUGAGCGGUAGGAUAAGUGCAAAGAAAUGUGGCACUGCUUCGGUAGUGUGUUAUAGUCUUUGUCGAUACUGCCAGCUUAGACUGAGGACUGCGGCUUCGGCCUAGGAUGUUGGCAUAAUGAUCUUAAGUCGCCCGU